GCCACUAUAGCUCAGUUGGUAGAGCAUCGGUUUUGUAAACCGGCGGUCAUCAGUUCAAGUCUGAUUAGUGGCUCCA
RNAcentral lists this transfer RNA (76 nucleotides) under Candidatus Altimarinota bacterium. RNAcentral's name for it is "tRNA-Thr". It matches the Rfam family "tRNA". From Rfam's summary of the family: Transfer RNA (tRNA) molecules are approximately 80 nucleotides in length. The record is from RNAcentral. Lineage: Bacteria; Candidatus Altimarinota.